CGGGGCGUAGCACAGCCCGGUAGUGCGCUUGCUUUGGGAGCAAGAAGUCGUAGGUUCGAAUCCUAUCGCCCCGACCA
Molecule: transfer RNA, 77 nt
Filed under: Chloroflexi bacterium 54-19
Lineage: Bacteria; Bacillati; Chloroflexota; Chloroflexia; Candidatus Chloroheliales
Also listed under: 1 other name
Description: tRNA-Pro
Rfam family: tRNA
About the family: Transfer RNA (tRNA) molecules are approximately 80 nucleotides in length. Their secondary structure includes four short double-helical elements and three loops (D, anti-codon, and T loops).
Source: RNAcentral